GAAAAACUCGAGGCCUGCAGCCCCGCUGGAAAAUCCAGUAGAAAUUCGACUGUUUACCGUACGUACCGAUAUGCGCGAGACGCUUCGAAGACGUGUGAUAAUAAUAUUAAACGCUUCUUAACACAUGCAAUACAUAAAUAUUUAUUUUUCGCCGUUGUUGUUAAUGUUUUGUCAACUAUGUUACCUCGUUUAAACGCACAUUACGUAUUAUAAUAUUAUUUGCGCAUAACAUUACCUAGUUGUAGUUGUCUUAUAUCAUGUACCUAAAUGUGACGCAUUGUCGGUAGUUUUUUUUUUUCGAUUGAUAUUUCGUUAAAAUCCGUAAAAAAAAAAAAAAAAAAAAAAUCCAAACACGUGAUAAAAAGUGAGUACACACGUUUAUGAAACAUAUAUUGUGCUUUUUUAUUUUCCAUAUUGUUCGACAGGCUAUACGCGUUUAUGAUUUUAAUUUUUCAAAAUAUUAUUAUACGUUCUCAUAACUCCUUCGUUCGAUUAAUUUACGAUAAACACAAUAAUAAUGUGCACGUUUUUUUUUUUUUUUUUUUUUUUUUUAAACGACAAUAAAUCAAUUUUCGUAAUCAAUUUUUACAGAGCUUAAAUAUUUUUAUUUUCUAUAAUUAUAUUAUUAUUUAUAUUUUAUCUUCGAAUUCGCUUAUAAUCAUUAAGCACUAAUAAAGUUUUAUUAUUUCAAGUCGAUACUUUUUGUAUACGUAUAUGAAAUUAAUUAAAUUAAUUUUAUUUCAUUAUACUUAUGCACUUAUAAAAUAUUGUACAUUUAAAAAACAAUCGAAUUCAAUAUCUAUAAUUGAUCGUACGGUGAGAAUUAUUGGAAUUUUAAAAUUUUUCAUAAUUUAUAAUAAGUUGAAUUUAUUUCAAUUAUUAAUUUUUAAUACGUGCAAUAUUCCUUCUUACGUGGGGAUUUUUUUGGUUUAUCGUAAUUCACUUGCGUACGGUUAUUUGAAAUUUUUAGUAAGUUUUCGUUAGUAAUUAUACUGUGCUCGUAUAAUAUCCUUUGCGUAUCGUAAUCUAUUAUAUACGGCUAUUGAGAAACUUUAGGCGAUUUUAGUUUCUGGACACAUGUUUAGUAUAUAUCUGUAUAGUUAGAGUACAUUAUAUUAGGAAAUCUAUAAACACGUUACGACGUCGCGUUUUUUUUUUUUUUUUUUUUUUUUUUUUGGUUUACAUUUAUCGUAGUUUUUUUUCAUUUUUAUCGUAUUUUACGCCGAGAUACUCUAUAUUCUACAGAAAAUAUAUUUCUUAUAUACAUAUACAUCCCAUACAUUUUUAUUGUUUUAUAAUGCAUUAAAAAAUUAAUUCGAGUUAAAUUAUUCGGCGAAUUUACAAUCAGUCUGUUCAUUGUUUUGCUGUUUUGUAUGGUGAUCUAUUUAAUUUAAUUAUAUAGACAAAAAAACUCGUAAAAUUAUUGAAAAAGAAAUUGAAUUAAAUAACUACGUCAAAAAAAAAAAAAAAAAACACCAACAAAUUUAAUUUUAACGAUUUUAUUAUUUUAAAUUUUUAUAUUUUUUUCGUGUAGGUAGUAAAAAUAUUUUACUAUUAAACAAUUUCAUAUUUUCAAUUAACCUAUAAAUAAUAUACGAUAGUUUUUCUAAAAUAUUAUAGAAAUCGCGAAAAAUCAAAAAAAAUGUCCUUUUUGAUUACAAAUUAAAUUAAAAAUUCUACAAAAACUGUCUUGUCAUUUUUUGAUUGGGGCAGGAUAUUUGGUUGAAAACAUAAAUUUUGAAAAUUUAAAAUGAAGACAAUGUUGAUGCCAUAAAUUUGUUUGUUUGUGAGUCUCAUAUUUUUCCGGUUUUUCAAAAUAUUAUAAAAGCAAUUUAGAAAAUCAAAUAAUGGUUUUAUUUUUAACCAACUAGAUCCAAAAGGUGACAAAAAAGUUUUCUAGUUACAAAAAGAGAGUUAUACUUCGCACGAUGGUUGAGCCACUGUUGUUGGCGAAAAGUUGGGAAGGUAACAUAUAGAGGGGAAUUUAAUUUAUUUUUGUACGCAGCGACAAAUCAUUGCUAACGAAAAACGAUUAGGAACAAAGUUUCUUAUGUAUUACAUGUACGUAAAUUUUCUAUUGUUUCUUAGGUUUUCCGAUUUUCCCAAUUAUUGUUUAUACCGCUUGAAAAAUUAAAAAAUGGUGCCUUCAAAUUACAAAAAUCUUAAUCCAAAAUGCAAUCAAAAAGGUCAUUUCUCAUUUUUUUAUAAGGGAAAGUUUUAUAAGACAAAUGUUGUAAAAAAUAUAAAUAAAUAUCAUUGUAAAUUCAAUACAUUACUCCUAUUGUUCAGAAUCUAAAAGUAAAAGAAAUUCGUCAUAAUAGUAAUAAUAUACUAAAUUAAUAUCAAGUAGACUUUUUUAAUUGGUACAUGUUUUUAAUUUGUUAAUGCGUUUCUCGGCGAUAGGUGUACGGAUGCAUAACGGCUGGGUAAUAUAGAAAAUAUCAAUAUGAUUUUUCAAAGAAUAAAAACGACACGAAAACAUUGAAAUUCAGUUUUAAAUUAAUUUACAAGACGUAACUCUUCAGUAAAACCAAAAAGUUUUAGUUAUAAUUAAAAUUCGUUAAAAAAAAAAUGUCCAUGCAUCGAAAAAGAAAAAGACAGAAACAAAUUUUGGGGAUAAUAUUGCAGUACUCUCAUUCAAUUUUAAACAAGUCAGUUUUUCACAAAUUAAUAUGACGGUUGAAAAAUCUUAUGCCUGUUAGGAUUAUAAUUUAAUAGCACAGUAUUAAACUUCAUUUAUAAUUACCUAAUUUUAUGAUAUGUACAUUUUAAACUCUUUCAAAAUCUAUAUAAAAGUACCCUUUACAGUGAUUUUUGAGAUAAAAUGCUUACAGCAAAAUAGAUAGAGUAGAAUAUUAUGUGUUUCGAUUUACUUACUUAGGGAUAUCUCGAUAACGUAAAUAAAAAAAAAUUAUAUAUUUUUUUCAAAAAUUCUAGCUGUUACUGUUUUCUUGACCGAUAUUCUGAGAAAAAAUGCUUUUGAGAUUACGGUGGAAAUAAAAAUGAAUAAUAUGAGAAAAAAAUUGUAAUUUCUAUCGUGUAUUUGGUGCUAAAAAAAAAAACCCACACACACACACGCAGUAUAUUUUCGUCUCUUAUUCAUCAGUAUUUCCAAUGUCCUUGUUAAAUACACUUCGGACUCAGCUGUAUACAAGUAGAUACGUACGUAUACAGAGUGUAUUUUAUGCGGUAGAGUUUUUACUUUAUCCGGUUAUAUGGCCGCGGUGGAACGUGUGCCCUGGGUUGUCAACGUUUUUACAGUUGACGAAAGGCGCGCGUAAAAAACAAACCGAGCAUACUUAUGAGUUAAAAAAUUGUUUUGACAGCGAGGGUACCAAAAAAAAAUAACCCUGAGUGACAAAACAAGUAAGCUUAAUGCGUCGUCAAAACUCUUAGGGUAGUUUCUUUGCUUUGUAUUUUUAAUUUAAAUACUUAAAUAAGCCGUCCGAGUUAAAAACGAUUUUUUCACUGCUGGCGGGUAUAAAAUAGCCAGUUAUCGUAUUUAUUAUAUGAAUAGUUUAAUUCCAUCACCUUUAAUAUGACUGUUUAUACACCAAGAGGGAGACCAAGGAACCGUUGGUUGGACGGGAUUUCAAAGAAAUGUAAAAUUAAAUGGGAAAUAUAUCGUUUGGGAAAAAUGUAUUGGAGAUAGUGUGACGAUAGAAGGAAAAGUUGCCGUUGACAGUCUUUAAGUGCUGACAAGCAAGAUAAGAAGAGAUAAGAAGAUAUUAUUAUAAUUAGAUGCAUUACAUAUUUCUAUACAAAACGUGAUAGUAGUUAAUAAAUUAUAAAAUAAUACUGCAACAGUAUUUUAUAAUUUAAAUAAGGUCAUAAAUUGAAUAUAAAAUUUGAUCCAAAUUCGCUUUCGUAUGUUUACCGUAGACAAUAAAAUAAUGGAAAGGACAUAUCUAUACUGUUUUAAUUAGGAGUCCUGGGGUUUUUUGACGGUAGAGAGAACAUCGAUUUUCUACAAGAACGAAUGACCGUGAUAGCAUUUUGACUGUCUUGCUGAAAGUUUUUUUAUGAAAAUGUCUAUAUUAUUUAUCUAUAUAUAUUAUUUAUGCUAUUGUUAUUAUUUCCUUAGAAUAGAUUAGAUUUUGACUCGUAUAUUAUAUUAUAUUAUAAUUUUUGAUUCUGAGUGGAGCGAGGAGUGAGAAGCGAGGAAUGAAUGGUUUUAAAAUGAUGUUUAUUUUUUUUUAAAAGGAAAUGUUUUCUAGGUGAUACUUAAGAGAUGUAAUUUUUCAAAAUUCUCAUUAAUAUUCGAGAUAAUGAGGAAAACCUGGUUCUUUAGGUUAAACAAGAUUGAAAGAUUAAAAAUAAGGUUGUCAUUGGCAACCGUUUUAAUUUUUUUUUUUAUUAUAAUAUCUUUUUUAAACAAUCAUUGUUGUCAUGGAAACGCACAUUGUUGUAAUCAUUUUACUAUAAUAUGACAUAUAUAUAUAGUUAAAAAAUCAACACUAUUAACUGAACUCCGCUCAGAAUCGAUUUUUCGUUAUUAUUUUCCCACCCACAAAAGUGGCUGCAUCUGCGUGUGAAGUAUGCCCGUCUAUUUUUCCUUUGUUUAUAAUGUUCGCAUACUUUUUAUUAUUAAGGUAAUUAAUAUUCGAACAUUUAACACUAUCGUUAUUAAUAAUAAUAUAUUUAAUUAUUCUAAACGUAAAUCACUUAUCAUACUAAUAUGAAUAUUGUAAAUAUUUUCCCCAGACAACUUUAAAAAGUUAAAUCAUUAAAUUUACAAGUGAUAAGGUUUCAUCCCAAUUUUUGGUUAUUUCUUAUGCUAUUCGUAUCAUUUUACCGUAAAAAAAAUGAGUGGUUUUUAUUCUCAACCGAUGACUAAAAAUAAAUAAAUUUAGAAGUGAACUUAAUACGUACUUUUUGUUUUUGGAUUAAGAAAACGUUAAAUUAUUUAUGAGAUAUCGUUAUUAAGAAGAAAAAACUGUUAGUAAUUAGCCGAUUCGCAGUUGCAGGCGCAUUAAUUAAUAAAUUAUAACAAAUUAUUGUUAAAAAAAAAAAAAAACCAAAAAGAAAAAAAAAACGAUAAACCAUCAAAAAUCGCAUUAAUUAUGAUAUAGAGUCGAGUACGUUGUUGAUAAUGAAAUAUUAUAAUGUCAGUCGGUGGUUUUAUUAUAUUUUUGAUGCAUUUAAAAAAUAGAAAACAUAAAACCCGAAAUUAUAAUAUUGUAUUAACACGCAUUGUAUUAUAGUAUCGAUUCGCACACCAUUAUAAAACACUUGCAAUGAAUCCAAAAAAAAAAAAAAUCAUCGGUUUGUUCGAUUUAUAUAGCUUAAAAAAAUUGACAAUCUAAAUAAUAGGUAGAGGUACACGUGUUGUGAGUACGCUCAACCGCGCGUUUUGGUAACCUCGUCGAAUCGCCUAAAAAUAGAUUGUUUCCAAUUUCGUAUUAUUAUUUUAGUACGUUGUCGAAGUGCAGGUUUGGGCAUCGCAAGUCUCGUAUCGUAUCAGCUAAAGGAUAUUUGAACAAUAUUUAUUCCGUGCUUCUAUAUUAUAAUAGUUUUUUUUAUUUAAAUGAGACGAUGGAUACAGGGUGAUCCAUUUAACCAGUGUUUUUCCGCCGGAACAUUUUAAGUGAAUUUUAUCUGGGGAUUUUUUUAUACAACCAUCACGAAAUCGUUAGAGCUUUAUUUUAACACUAUUGGCCAUUUGUUAUCCCAACUCUUCGUAUUCCUUUAACGGGCGUUGUUCAAGGAAGAAGCCUCAUUUUAAAUACAAAUUUGCGUAGAUUAUUUUUUUAUUUUUUUUUAUUUUUACCAUGCUAUACAGGACUUAUCGUGUUUGAUAUAGGUACAAAAGCUUAGAAUUUGGAUCAGGAUAGUGGCGGUAACAAAGAGUGAUUAACUUCAUAUCAAUUUUUAGACGAUGCAUUGGUACCUUACUCCUCUCAAACUUGAAAAAAAGGGAGUUUUUUUUUUGCAAAUCAAAAGUGCACCCUCAUAUAAGGUUUAAGACGAGUCGGAGUGAAAAAUCGAAAACAGUGUUAAAAUAUCAAAGCGAUUCCAUGUAAUGAUUGAAUGAAAAUAAACAAAUUUAAAAAAUCAAAUCCACCGCGUGAAAACCGCCGGUACACGAUAACACGGAUCACCCUAUAGACAAUAUAUCGGUUUUACAACGGUAUUGUAUUUUAUGUAUAACAAUUUUCCCGGGUCGGAGGAAUACGCAAUUUAAAAGUUUCCCGGAGCUCCUUCUAUUAUCCUUCUGCUUCAUUUAUAUACCAGCUAUCAUAUUAUGCCAUGCAUAUCGAUUGAAAAUCUCAAGUUUGGCUGGCCAUUUUUUGGUUUAUCCUCGAGCUCAGAACAAAAUUAAGAAAAACCCGCCUCCGUCUAAAAACUGCAAAAUAACAACUGUACAGGAUACGCGUGUAUAUAAUUUACGGCACACGCCCGUGAGUUUCCGGACGGAAUUGAUUUUUCGUUAUUUUCUCGAAAAUAGUAUGUACCUAAUAUUAUAUAUAUAUCACGGAAAAUCAUGGAGCUGGGAAUUUUCAACGAUUAUUUAUUAUUUUUACGGGCACCGUACAAGCGGAUAGAGGGGUUCAGCUGAUUGGUCGUAGCUCAUCUUUUAAACACUAUCCUUUUUUUUUUUUUGUAAAAAGGUAUCGAUAUUUUACUGCUGACAAACAGCGUGUUACAUAUGUCGGUUGGUGUAAAAAAAAAAAAAAAAUCCGAUUCGAUUUAUUAUCACCUACCGCGCACAUUUUGCCGUCCGAUUUGACGGACAUUUUGAGCGACGGCCACCGUGUAAUAGUUUUUCUCGCCGAGUAGUGCAGGCAACGAUGUGCUGGAGUUCUCAUUGCAAUUUAUACUUUUGAAUUAACUUCCGGUCAGAGGAAAAUGCGGAGAAUUGAAAAUCUCGUUGAGAGCGCUACAUAGUUUUGUAAAAAUUAGUUUAUGUACUUACGAGCUUACGUUAAAAUUGAAAACCCCGAAAAGUUCUCGGGUUUCUUCCUUUUUUUUUCUAACCCGAAGAGAUGCAAUUUAAAAACGCGAUUAUAAACUUAUUUAACUUUACAGAAUCUUGAGAAUGUCAAAUACCUACGUUUUAUUUUCAUUUGAAGGGUGCAUAUUAUAGGAUUUUAACUGUAUUUCCAGCAUCGAGUAGAUACUUGCCGGGUGUACAUUAUUGUAUAAGCGCUUAGAAUGUAAAAUAGUGCAAUUUCGGUUUAGUCGAGUCGAGAAAUAAUUUACACUUGACAUUUUGACGAACUACAUUUUUUCUGACGUACAGGCGAUUAUACUGUAUUUAUUGUUUCUAAAAACUCAGCGUAUGGGAUUUAUCGUGAAAGUUGGUACCUAUAUUCAAGGGUUUUUGGACUUCCGAGGGUUGAGCUAGGAAUUCAGUCAAGGGGACAUGACACUAUAGUAUGUUGACAUUUUACAAUAAGAAAUUUAGAUUUUGUAUGUUUUUUUCUCCGCGGGUUCCCAUUUAGUCUGCGGUCAUCGUGUACUGAAUGCAUUGGUGAUGAAGGGGGAAAUUGUUUGUUUUAAUUUCAUGACAACAAUUGAUCUAUGUAUUCUAUCGCGAAUAUUGAGACUGAAAUAAGAAUGUCCUAUAUUCGUAUUAUUAAAAAAUAUUUAAUUACAUUUUCUAUCGUGAACUUGUAGUGUUUUUUUAAUUUUUUUCAUAUUAGUCGGAUAGUUCACUCAGUUUGCUGUGCUAUUUUAUUAUUAUUGUUAUGCUGAGUUAAAGCUAAUUUACCGAGAACGAAAAAAAAAAAAUUGUUGUUUUUUAAUAUACUAAAAAGGAUUUCGGUCGGAGGAUUUUUAUGAGAAUCACGUGUACAUAAUUUUACUAAAAAUUGUAUUAUAAAUAAAAACGUGGAUGAAUAUACUUAAAAUAUAUUAAUAAUAUCAUAUUUGUGUUGGGUUGUGUAGGGAUAAUGAAAUGUUAUAAUAUGAACUUACUUACUUGGAAAAUAUUCACCCUGUUGCCGUUAACGUGACGUUCGUUCGGGCUGAACUUUUAGCCAUAGGGUUUAUUAUAAACAUGCAUUUAUAUUAUAAAAUAGAGUUUUUUUUUUAUUAUUGUUCUUUUUAUCUUUCGUAAUUUCUGAAGGUAGGUAUAAUAUAUUUUCGAGUAAAUAAAACACAGAGAUCAUUUUCGCUAUGGGCCAAUGAUGGAAGGUUGGAUCCAAAAUAAGAUCAUCUUGAAAGCCCUAAUAACUAACUAUUUGAAGAAAAAUAACGAUUUAAUAAGCUAUACCUUACAGCCACAACUAGACAUCUGUUAGUGUGUUAGUGUUCGUGGGGGGGGGAAGGAAUUUGUGAAUUCAUGUCAUUAUCACAUAUUAUACAUUACACUCAUGUUUUUAGUCGACAUGUGUAGUAUUGAAGAAUUCCUUUCAACAAGAUUUAAACGAUAUAAGUGUACGGGUAGUUUUCAUUUAUUUACUUGACUCUUUUCACUUCCAUCAAUUAUUAUGAUGGAUUAUCUUAGUUAUCUUUAUUAGUAGUAGUAUGUAUAUAUUUUGAUUGAAUUAGACAUUUCACUAUGGAUUCCUAGAUAAGUUCGUUCCUGUAAAAACAGUAUUAACAUUUGAAUUGGUAUACCGUUAUUAUUAUUUUUUUUUUUUAUUGGAACGUAUUCUUAAACAUAUUCUUUAAACAAUUAUCGAUACGUACCAAACUAAGCAAUUCAGUUUUGAAAUGAAUUUAAUAUACAUAUUUCUGCUGAAUUAGAAAAAAAUGCUCAAUUCAUUGAAUAAAAGGACGGACAUACUUCACACGAUGUGUGGGCCACUUUUGUAGGUGAGAAGUUGGGAAGAGUAAAAUUAAAUGUAUAUCUGUACGAAAAGAUUAAUCAUUGCUAACGAAAAAUAAUUCUGAGCAGAGUUCGGUUAUGCAAUAUAUACGGUUAUAUUUCGGCCUUAUGAAAGGCCGAAAUAUUUACAAUUUGAAAAUAAUAUAUUUCAUAAAUUUCCUUGUUUUUCCCACAUUUGUUCACGGGUUUUCCCAUUUAUUCGGAAAACCCCUGAGAAAAUCGAAAAUGACUUUCUUAAAGUACCAGUCAGAUUUCCUUUUAGAAAAAUAUGCUAUACUUAAAAUCUGAGCAAAUAUUCUGGUAAAAAAGUUGUUCAAAAAAAAAAUUAAAUAAAUAUCAUUGUAAAACCAAUACAUUCCUCGCUCUACUUAGAAUCUAAAACAAGUAUAAAAAUGUUUUAUUAAAUAUUGUAUAAUAAAAUAAUUAUGAAUUUCACAUUAGAAAGGAAAAGUGCAUUUUUUUUUUCGAAUUUGAACUCAAAUAACAUGGGUUAUUUUGAAAACCAAUAUAUAAUAGUAUUUUAAGUAUGAUGUAUGUUAUGAAAUCAAAUAGGUAUUCUCAAAAUCUUCAUAAUAUAAAUAAUACAUAGCUCCUCCAUCGUUUGAUUUGAAUUUAAGACUUUCACACCAGCACUUGAAUAUUAAUAAUCUCAAUUUAUUCAUUGGUUAUUGUAUACCUACGCCCUUGAUAAGUUCGAAAUCUUUUCAGGAGUGGCAAUCCACUCGUCGUUGUUUGCGGUCGAAUCCUGCAAGACAGGCGAUUAUUGGGGUCGAGAUUCUGAUCUAAGUGACUAUAUUUUAUUAAUUUAACGUGUUUAGUAAGUGCUGCAUGAUAAAACAACGGAAUUUUUAAUUCCGGAAUCACUUUGAUUUAAUUCCCAUAAACUAUAAUAUAGGUCAAUGCAAUAAUAUUAUUGCGCCCUUUAUAUAUCCGUAUCAAAGCAGUAUUCGAUUAAAAAAAUAAAACUGUACUCGGCCGAUUUUAUACACAAUAUGUUAUAUAGGAUAUCCCUGUCCUACCGUGUUCCGCUGGUUUAAUAUAUUACAGUAGGUCAAAAACCAUAGAACACGGUGGAACACCUUGCAUAAAUAAAUUAUAAAAAAUUCGCGAUUAUUACGAAUACAUUUCUUUUCGAAAACAAUGAAAUAUGUGAUUAAACAUUUAAAUUUAUCAGUAUGUAUAUAAAUUGUACGAAUAAUUUUAUCCACAUGAAAUCAAAUAAAAACGAUUUCCUUGUUCACCAACUAGACAAGAUUUGGUUUUACAAAAGUCACUGCACUUGAAGAUUUCAGGUAGAAAAACAAAAUCGAUAACAUUGACAAUAAUGACAUUUUUACUGCCGUAAUUCUUUUUCGUUUAUUUGUCCCAUAUUUUUUGCCCUAAUUAUUUUUAAAACUACACGGAAAAUUAAAAAAAUUACCUCUUUAAUAUAUCAAUUAGAUUUAAUGCGCAACAAAAAAGAUUAUUUGUCAUUUUUUGAUUGGCGUAAUAAUUUUGGUAGAAAAAUGAUUUACAGACGGAUAAAAUAUAAGCUAAUAUCAUAGUGAAUAAAUCAAUAUAUUUUUUGAUGCCCUUAGAAUUUAAACAAAUCAAAAAUGAUUGUACUACAAAUGCCUAAUUUCAUAGCAAUAUAUUUAUAUAGUAUUUUUUUGUAAUACAAACCAAAAUUUGUUUUGUUAUAGAUGGACCAAGAUGAAAAUCAAAAAUCCGAUAACAAGCGUCGCCAGUCGCUGAGCAUCGACAAGGCUGCGUUCCUAUUGCUCCGAAUUAAGCGGGUGUUCAAAAAAAGAAGCCAAAGUCAUCACACCGAAAAAAGGUUUUUAAAAAAAAAAAAAAAAACAACAACAUUAUCUCAUAGUAUUUAAGCGAAUUUAGUUUCUUGUAUUAAACGGUCUACAUCAUUAUUUUACGUUUUAUUUCAAUGUGCC
Molecule: long non-coding RNA, 10704 nt
Filed under: Cinara cedri
Lineage: Eukaryota; Metazoa; Arthropoda; Insecta; Hemiptera; Aphididae
Source: RNAcentral